Molecule: ribosomal RNA, 253 nt
Filed under: uncultured bacterium
Lineage: Bacteria
Description: partial 16S ribosomal RNA
Rfam family: Bacterial small subunit ribosomal RNA
Source: RNAcentral
UACAGAGGGUGCAAGCGUUAAUCGGAAUUACUGGGCGUAAAGCGUGCGUAGACGGUUAUGUAAGUUAGGUGUGAAAGCCCCGGGCUCAACCUGGGAAUUGCAUUUAAGACUGCAUAGCUAGGGUGCGGAAGAGGGAAGCGGAAUUUCCGGUGUAGCGGUGAAAUGCGUAGAUAUCGGAAGGAACAUCAGUGGCGAAAGCGGCUUCCUGGACCAGCACCGACGUUCAGGCACGAAAGCGUGGGGAGCAAACAGG